GUGGAUCAUCUGGGGCAUGUCCCUUACUGCCUGUGUUUUUGGGAGGCUGAGCUCACCCUGUAAAAGUGCCCCAUCCCCUCGCCUCGGGCAGCUUUGCUGCGCUAGCAUUGUCAUUAAGGUGGGAACUCAGGGCUCCACCGCAGGUGGCCCCCUUCCCUGGCCCAAGGAGCCCUCGCUCUGGGUCAGCCCAGAGGGUAGCUGCGGGGCCCCCUUGAGAUCCCCCGAGGUACUUCCGAGACAUUCUUUUAAUCCAUCUCUUUCCUACUUCACUCAGCCUCUGGUGGUUUACGCUGCUAACAGCUAAAAGACCUGAUUGUUGUGGGUGGACAGUUUUUUUUUUUAAAAAACAAGGAUGUGUGUUCCACAAAAUCUAAAGAUGGACAGUAAUGUUCCCUCCUCCGCGGCAGGACCUUGGGGGCUGGAGAAAUGACAGAUGAGGCUGAAACCUGGGAGAUUCUUAUCCCUUCUUCAUUGGGUUUGUGGUGUGUAAUAGGACAUUCUCCUAUGAAGUUUGAAGACACCACCGAUCUGCUUCCUGUCACCAUAGUUUGCAUGUUCAGAAUUUCGUGGAAGUGGAAACAGACCAUGUGUAUUCUGUUCUGUCUAGUUUCUUUUACAUAUUGUAAUGAUUUUGAAAUUCAUUCGUGUUGGUUUUGUUUCAAUUUUUUUUUAUUCCUUUUUGUUUCUGUGUAGUAUUCCAUCGUGUGGAGGUACCACAGUGGUUUUAUUCAUUCACACAGAUGAGCAUUUGGGUUGUUUCUAGCUUUUGGCUAUUAUAAAUAGUUGCUAUGAACAUUCUUCUUCAAGUCUUUGUAUGUACAUACGUUUUUAUUUCUUGAGUAAAUACUUAGGAGAGGAAUUCCUAGACUGUAUGGUAGGCAUAGAUUUAAUAUUUUAAGGAACUGCCCAUCUAUUUUCCAAACACUGUACCAUAGCUCCCUUGUCCAUCAAGUUCGUGUGGCUUGCCUUUUUGUUUCAGCGACUUUAUUUGGUGUGUUUAUAUUUCAUUCACCUAUUGCCCAUUCAUAUGUCUUCUUUAGUGAGGUUUCUCUUCAUUAUUUUUUGCCCAUUUAAAAAACUGUCCUUGUCUCCUCAUUCUGAUAAAUGUUCUUGGCUGAUGUAUGUGGUGCAAAUAUUUUCUUCCGGUUUGUGGGUUGCCUUUUUCUAUUUUUAACAAUCUCUUUAGAAGAGCCAGAAGUUUAAUUUUUAUGAAGUCCAAUUUAUCAAUUUUUUUCUUCUUUGGUUUCUUUCUUAUUUAUUUUUCUAUCUAAGGAACAUUUGUCUACCUGAGAUCUCAAAAGAUUUUCCCUAAUGAUUUCUUCUAGAAUCAUUAAAGUCUAUGACCCAUUUCAUUUUUGUGUAGGGUGUAAGGUACAUACUCAUUUUUUCCCCAUGGAGAGAUCUAGUUGUUCAACACCAUUUUUUCAAAAGACUUCUAUUCCCCAAUGAAGUGCCUUGACACUUUUCUUGAAAAUAAAUUCACACUUACAGAUGUGGGCAAAAUAAUACAAGUUAUAUUCAAAUACCUUAGCUGUAAAUCUCAGUAAGAUACCCGUGUGAAAGAGUAGGCUAAGCAUUAAAAAUAAUUUAUGUAGUUAUGAAUCUCUAAUUUGCUUCAAAUAGUUUCAACUGUUUCUUUUUUAUGUCUAUUCCAAAAUGAAUUAAGUCAUUCUCUUUGACUCUAAAACCUCAUGAAUGGCAACAUCCAUAUUAUGAUAGUAGAAAUCAUUCUACCCAUCGCUUAAAUGUAUAAGAUUUCUGGUGAAGCUAAGCCUUGUUCCAGAUAUUUGGGUUUCGCAAUGUUCACAGAACCCAGAAUUUUCUUUAAAUGUAAAUACACUCUGAAGUGAUACAAAAUGAAAAAAUAAACAACUCUCAAUUUUUCUAAAAAAUCCAGACCUAUACUAUCGAUACAAUAACCAUAAUUUAACUUCCUCUAUUAGGAGUGCCCAAAUAUGCCAACAGGCAAUUCUGAGACAAAGACAAGAGAGAGGAAAA
Lutra lutra (Eurasian river otter) is the source of this 1998-nucleotide long non-coding RNA. RefSeq lists it as uncharacterized. The transcript has 3 exons. The record is from RefSeq and is a predicted model, not a curated record. Lineage: Eukaryota; Metazoa; Chordata; Mammalia; Carnivora; Mustelidae.